This is a long non-coding RNA of Solanum stenotomum, 1642 nucleotides long. RefSeq lists it as uncharacterized. The transcript has 3 exons. The record is from RefSeq and is a predicted model, not a curated record. Lineage: Eukaryota; Viridiplantae; Streptophyta; Magnoliopsida; Solanales; Solanaceae.
UGGGUCAUCCGAGACUGGUGGUUUUGAGAGCGGAGAUGAUGAUAGAGAUGAAAAUAAUGAUACAUAUGUUGGGUGGGUAUUAAUUCAAUUGACUAUUAGUAGUGUCCCUUCGUUUCUUCUACUUCCUUGGCAAAUACAUGGAAAUGUACAACAGAGACCAAUGAAAAUCUUGGCGCAAUAUGUUUUAGAUGUGUGAUGAUUUUGUUUCUGAAGAUUCUACUUCUUUUUAAACAUAUGUGAAUAGUUGUUUGUAUUUUUUACCAUUUUUUCUAUAACGGUGGUGUCUGAGCUAGCUUUUUUGGACUUUGACCUAUUUAUGAGGUACCUUCUAGAUUAUGCACGCCACGACCUAUUUCCUCGGUACCUUCUACCUCGCACAAACGAUGGUAUCUCUGUCCACAAACCAAUAAAGGUAUAAAUCACUUGGUCUCUUUAAUUUUGAUGGGAUUUGAACCUAAAUCUCAUGGUUUUCAAUCGACUUCAAUGACCACUAGGCUACACACUUGAGUGUAAUUUGUACUUUUUUACUAUUUAAGGAGAUUUAAACUGGAAGAAUGAGAUAUGGGCAUGCUACUACAUAAACAUAUUCUGGAAUUAACAACCAAUAUGGGAUUUCCUGAAUAGAGGUUAUUGCUCAUGGAGAGGAUCUAUAUUUAAUAUUGGAGAACCACUGAUGAUGGUUUACAAUCCCUUUAACACUUAAUUAUCAGAAGUUGUGAUUUAUUGGAAGAGAUUCCUCAAGGAUUUGCAGAUAGUAUGAAUUGCAGCUUAUUGAGUUACAUCAGUGUUAUCCUUCCCUUGUGAAUUCUGCUGAGUGGAUCUGGGAGGAGUAAGAUAAUUUCAGGAACAACAUGCUUAAAGUGUAUGCCUUUGACAUAAGAGAUUCAUCUCUACAUUGUUCAAAUGGUCUCACCAAUCAGAAGUGUUAUUUGAUCAUAAGAGAUGAAAGACAUUGUUCGUGGAAUUUAAAGCUAAGUUCUUAUGAAACUUGAACCUAUGUUUUAGGUGGAUGGCCCAUUUUCAUUGCUUAAAGAAGUUAGAUCGCAUAAUGUUUGAGGUUGUUAUUAAUUGAGAGACACCAAUAUUCUCUUCAGUACAUACCAUGAUCAUGCUCUAUUGUGAUACAUUUUUAUGCUGAUAGAUUGUCUUUUUUAACAAUCAUCUUAUUGGGUUGUUGUCACGGAAUCUGUUGAUAGCCAGAUCUGAAUUGCAGGUCAAGAGAGAAUUAAAAGGGAUUGAUUUCACUAAGAUAUUACGAGGAGGCAAGCUGCUAAUGUUUUUCCAACCACUUGAACGAGAAAUUUGGGCAGCUAGUCAUUUAUUGAUAAUUUUUAUAAAACACAAGUGUGUACAAAUGAUGAAACUUCUGAAGUCUGAACAUUUGAGUCAACAGACCAAGUCCAAAGCCAAGGAGGGACUUAUUGUUAAGGAAGAGCUAUCUGUCAUUUACUAUGCAACCAUAUAGUGUUGCUCAACCAAAUGUGAUUGGUUCACAUGUUCGAUCAAUGUUAUAGAAUAUUAGUUUGAUAAAUCUCUUUGUAUUUUGAUGAUUAUGUCUCUGCAGAAAAAGCUUUACACUAUAUCAGAAGUUUAUGUUAGAUAUUUUGUUGAACUAAAAUUUAUGACAGUGAAAAUUAGAAAA